This 72-nucleotide transfer RNA is filed under the name Planctomycetaceae bacterium. RNAcentral describes it as "tRNA-Pro". It matches the Rfam family "tRNA". Rfam says of the family: Transfer RNA (tRNA) molecules are approximately 80 nucleotides in length. The record is from RNAcentral. Lineage: Bacteria; Pseudomonadati; Planctomycetota; Planctomycetia; Planctomycetales; Planctomycetaceae.
CAUGGUUCAAAGGUUAGAACGUCAGAUCUGGGAUCUGAAGAUACAGGUUCGAAUCCUGUUGGUUAACCACCA